GCACAAAGCUCAAUACAUUUAAUGAAUGGUUGGAUAGGAUGGAUGCCAGAGUGAGGCUGUGUGUAUGUACUGGCAUAUAUAAAAUGCCUUCUGGCCUUUAACUUAGUGUCUAAUAGAGGAAGAUUUAUAAACAGGAAAAUUGGCUAGUAUUCAGGUAGGAACAAAAAUCAUGGGUCAGAGCAAUUGAACUCCAGGAGAAAAAGGGCAGUCUUCACUGCAGAGGUGACAUUGGAACUAGAUGUUAAAGAAUAAGUAGAAGUGUGCACUGUGUUUAAGCAUUUCAUACAUUCUCAUAUUUUUCCAUCUCUUGCAUGAUGUUCUCUGCCUUCCUUGAUUCUCCUCAGAAGGAAGGAAUUAUCUUUCCAAUUCUCAUAACAGUUCUUCUGAGGCUCUUUAUUAAACCGCUUUCUACUGUGUAUCUCAGUACUUUGCAUUCAUGCCUCACCACUUCUGCUUGAGGGCAGGAUCUGUGUGAGGUGUAGAGUCAUAGCCUCCAAUGGGCCUAGCACAUACUAAACACCUUUAAAAGAUCAAGAUUUUCCACAUCAUUGUGAGCCACUCACUUUACCACUGCAGAUACCACUGCAGGUGUCCACAGUGGUACAGACUUCCUUUUCUCCAAAUGCACUGUGCAAGAAGUAAGUAGAAUAAUUGCGAACAUCUUUUUCACAUAUCUCCCAACUUCAUCUCCCUCUCUAGAAGUAACCACUAUUAACAAUUUAUUACACGCUCUUACAGAUGUUUUCUGUGUAGAUUUUUCUACUAGGAUGAGCCUGUGCUCUAUGAUGUCAGCAUAACUUCUGGUUAUGAAGGUGAGAGGAUCCCAGUUAUGUCUGAAAAAGUGUACCUCUUGCUUUGUAAUUAUAGGAUACCACUCUCAGGGGAGAGUAGUGUUUCUUUAUUGCAAACAUAGUUUAUUUACUGAGAAACCAAGGUUUAUUUUCUUGGUCCUUUAGUCUCUAGAUGAAGAAUGACUUGUGGUUUCAAGGCCGUUGGGAGCUGAACUGUUCCAGGAUCUGAUACAUGCAGCAGGACCAGUGUGUCCCAGGAUAUGGCAAUCACUGUUCUCUGACUAAACCUACAGACAUUUGGAAUCCCUCUGUAUUAGUGUUCUCCAGAGAAACAGAACCAAUAGGAUCUGUGUAUGUAUGUAUAUAUGUAUGGUCAAUAGAUCCAUCUGUAUAGGUAUUUAUUAUCGGAAUUGGCUUAUCUGAUUAUGGUGGCUGAGAAGUCCUCCCAUUUGCAGUCUGCAAACUGGAGAACCAGGAAAACUGGAGAUGUAAUUCACUGAGUCAGGAGUCAGAAGGGCUGAGAACCAGGAGAGCCUAUGGUGUAACUCCCAGUCCCAGUUGGAAGGUGGGAGGGAGUGGGGUGAAGAAAUGGUGUAAGUCUGGAGUCCAAAGGCCCAACAACCAGGAGCUCCAGUGUAUAAGGGCAGGCAAACAUGAAUUGUCCCAGCUCAAGAAAAGAGAGAUAAUUCACUCCUCUUCCAUAUUUUUGUGCUAUUUUGGCUCUCAAUGGAUUGGAAGAUGCACACCCACAUAGGUGAAGCCAGAUCUUCUUUACUCAGUCUACUGUUUGAAAUGUUAAUCUUUUCCGGAAACACCCUCACAGACACACCUGGAAUAAUGUUUAAUCAGCUGUCUGGGCAUCCCUUACCUCAGUCAAGUUGACACAUAAAAUUAACCACCACACCCUUCUAUCUUCUUCCCAAAUUUUUCCUGCCUGAAUGCCAGUAUGAUAUCUGGAGGUGAAGUGGGA
This 1761-nucleotide long non-coding RNA is filed under the name Homo sapiens (human). Its description in RNAcentral is "HSALNT0204219". The record is from RNAcentral. Lineage: Eukaryota; Metazoa; Chordata; Mammalia; Primates; Hominidae.